UACGUAGGGUGCAAGCGCUGUCCGGAAUUAUUGGGCGUAAAGAGCUCGUAGGCGGUCUGUCGCGUCGGCUGUGAAAUCCCGAGGCUCAACCUCGGGUCUGCAGUCGAUACGGGCAUCACUGGAGUUCGGCAGGGGAGACUGGAAUUCCUGGUGUAGCGGUGAAAUGCGCAGAUAUCAGGAGGAACACCGGUGGCGAAGGCGGGUCUCUGGGCCGAUACUGACGCUGAGGAGCGAAAGCGUGGGGAGCAAACAGG
This 254-nucleotide ribosomal RNA is filed under the name uncultured bacterium. RNAcentral describes it as "partial 16S ribosomal RNA". It matches the Rfam family "Bacterial small subunit ribosomal RNA", at positions 524 to 776 of the family's 1533-position model. The record is from RNAcentral.